Molecule: ribosomal RNA, 252 nt
Filed under: uncultured bacterium
Lineage: Bacteria
Description: partial 16S ribosomal RNA
Rfam family: Bacterial small subunit ribosomal RNA
Source: RNAcentral
UACGUAGGGGGCAAGCGUUGUCCGGAUUUAUUGGGCGUAAAGAGCGUGUAGGCGGCCUGACAGGUCUGCUGUGAAAACUCGAGGCUCAACCUCGAGAUGGCGGCGGAAACCGUCUGGCUAGAGUCCGGAAGAGGAGAGUGGAAUUCCUGGUGUAGCGGUGAAAUGCGCAGAUAUCAGGAAGAACACCUAUGGCGAAGGCAGCUCUCUGGGACGGUCUGACGCUGAGACGCGAAAGCGUGGGGAUCAAACAGG